Mauremys mutica (yellowpond turtle) is the source of this 390-nucleotide long non-coding RNA. RefSeq lists it as uncharacterized. The transcript is spliced from 3 exons. NCBI's taxonomy places the organism in Eukaryota, Metazoa, Chordata, Testudines, Geoemydidae. The record is from RefSeq and is a predicted model, not a curated record.
GACUGCGCAUGCGCGGUGACUCGCCUCCUGUUCGGCCAGCAGGGCCCGGGCCUCCCGCUGUCGCUGCUCGUCCUGCGCCUGUGCCUCGUCCCGCCGCACGCGGGCCACAUUGUCCUUGUUCCGCACGUGCCACGACUUCUUCGCAGGGGCACCCAGGCGAUGGCCAGGCCCAGCAGCAGAACCAGCAGGAAGAAGAAGCUGGAGCUGGAGGCGCGGAAGGUGCGGUCGGCCGGGCGGCAGUUCGAGAACAGGCGGCAGGUCCUGCAGGAAUCGGCGUCGGGGUCCCCGUUGCAGGUGAUCUGGCUCCAGAGGGAGAAGAGGAGAACAAGGAGGCUGGAGAGACGCAGGAACACGGUCCUGCCACAGAGAGAGAGGGGCUGGUUAGACGGG